CUAUUUUUGGUGACGCAUGACUUCACGGAUCAUUGGCGUCUUCUUCGACAACAUGUGAUAUCUUUCACUAUCGUUCAUCAUGUCCACAUGAAGUAUAUGUUCAAUACACAGCGUUCAAAAAGAUGAAAGUGUGUGAGAUCAGAGAGAGAGAGAUUUGUUGAAGGAAAGGGUGAGAAAGAUGCUAU
This is a non-coding RNA of Arabidopsis thaliana (thale cress), 185 nucleotides long. The record is from RefSeq. Lineage: Eukaryota; Viridiplantae; Streptophyta; Magnoliopsida; Brassicales; Brassicaceae.